AUGAACGCUGGCGGCGUGCCUAAUACAUGCCAGUCGAGCGAACGGACGAGAAGCUUGCUUCUCUGAUGUUAGCGGCGGACGGGUGAGUAACACGUGGAUAACCUACCUAUAAGACUGGGAUAACUUCGGGAAACCGGAGCUAAUACCGGAUAAUAUUUUGAACCGCAUGGUUCAAAAGUAAAAGACGGUCUUGCUGUCACUUAUAGAUGGAUCCGCGCUGCAUUAGCUAGUUGGUAAGGUAACGGCUUACCAAGGCAACGAUGCAUAGCCGACCUGAGAUGGUGAUCGGCCACACGGGAACUGAGACACGGUCCAGACUCCUGCGGGAGGCAGCAGUAGGGAAUCUUCCGCAAUGGGCGAAAGCCUGACGGAGCAACGCCGCGUGAGUGAUGAAGGUCUUCGGAUCGUAAAACUCUGUUAUUAGGGAAGAACAUAUGUGUAAGUAACUGUGCACAUCUUGACGGUACCUAAUCAGAAAGCCACGGCUAACUACGUG
RNAcentral lists this ribosomal RNA (496 nucleotides) under uncultured bacterium. RNAcentral's name for it is "partial 16S ribosomal RNA". It matches the Rfam family "Bacterial small subunit ribosomal RNA", at positions 29 to 507 of the family's 1533-position model. The record is from RNAcentral.